CAUACCUGUCCUGCCUCACUGCUCCACACACUUUAAGACCCCCAGUACUGAUCAGUGACUGUCCAGUCCUUUCACAGACACUGACACAGGCUGCGUUAUGAUGAUGUCACACUUUCUACUGCUGGUGAUGCUGGGACUCCUUGUACAGGAAUCAAUGGCAGAUAUAGUUCUGACUCAGGAUCCAGCAGCUCGGUCUGUUCAGCCUGGAGACACUGUCUCUAUCAGCUGUACAGCCAGUGAGGAUUUGAGAAGCUGGCUCCACUGGUACCUGCAGAAACCUGGUCAGGCUCCUAAACUUCUGAUUCAAACGGCCACAACCCGCCAGACUGGGAUUCCUGAUCGUUUCAGUGGGAGUGGAUCUGGGACUCAGUUCACACUGAAAAUCACUGGAGUUCAGGCUGAGGAUGCAGGAGAUUAUUACUGUCAGCAGGGCUGGAGCACUCCGUACACACAGUGAUAGAGAGUCGUACAAAAACCUCCCUCAGUCAGACUGCACAGAGACUGCACUGCUGCAGCUGGGACCUACUGCAGGUGCUGAGGGGGGAGGCACUGAUCUGUGACCUAGACGGGCUCUGCUCAAAUUCUGAGCUGUUUUAUGCAUUAAUAACUCUCAUAUAAUGAUAUUUAAUAAAAUUUCUCUAAAAUGUUAAUGUGAGCAAAUACAAAACAUUUCACUUAAGAUCCAUUUGAAUUAUAUUAGCAUAAACCUUUCAUUGAAAGAAUACACUUGAGACACAGGAAUUGGUCAGAUUCAAAUUGUUUAAUCUCUUCCGAAACAGAAAUAGGAAGGGGGACCCAAUCAGCAUUUUGUGAACACAAGGAAAAGAUGCACAGAUUUAACUAAAGACUGAAAUGGUGAAUUACUAUUCAAUUACAUUUACUGGACCAGAGGUGGGACUCAACACACACAAGUGAAAUAUCUUGAAUGUAAUGUUGUGGUUUUUUUUUUUUGUUUUUUUGCAUAUUUGAGGUUUUUCCAGGAGUAAAUUAUAAUUAAGGAUCUAAACAGAUUUUUUGCACAUUGGUCAAUGUUACCUUAAUUUUGAUGAUGAGCCAGAAACAUUCUAGGAUAAUUCCUUUCCUGUAGUUGCACAGGAUCUUUGGAAAUUAAUACCGAAUUCCAAUGAGCUACUGGCUACAGGGCAUUCAGAGAUGAGAGUGACUCUCACACCCCCCAGCAGUGUUCCUCCUGCUCUUUCCCAAACUCCAAACUCAGCUCCAUCUUCUGCACUGACUUCACUUUCACCCUUGGUUGUGAAAAAACUGAUACAUCAUAGGAAAUCUCGCUCAUUCAUUUGCAUGGAUGUAGGUGCGAGCAAAAGCAUUGUUC
Anguilla rostrata (American eel) is the source of this 1330-nucleotide long non-coding RNA. RefSeq lists it as uncharacterized. The record is from RefSeq and is a predicted model, not a curated record. NCBI's taxonomy places the organism in Eukaryota, Metazoa, Chordata, Actinopteri, Anguilliformes, Anguillidae. The transcript has 2 exons.